AAAUAUGCCAUAAACUUACAUUACAGCCUAAAUGGCCACAUAACGUUGGUUAGCAUGAGCUUAAUUGGAUAUAUGGUUGAAGUGCACUUAUUGUAAGUGGCUUUGGAUAAAAGCAUCAGCUAAAUGACAUGUAAUGUAAUGUAAUACCACCACGUGUCUCCAUGCAUGUGUAUGUCAAUGAAACUAAGUCAUACCUACUCUAACAAAAGAUUGAUGACAUUAUAUAUUUUGACCCCCUUUAAGGUUUAACCUUGAUUACUACUUAAUCGCUAAAAAAAGCUAGAGCUCCUCAAGUAGCAUAGAUCAUAAGAUUUGACUUCAUAUUAAGAAGAAAAUAAAGUUUCACAAACAGAAGAAAGUCAGGCAAAAUUAAAAUUAUGCAUUCGUCCAUUUCAUCUGUAAAUAUUCUGUCAGAAAGGAGAUCAUCAAAACAUCUGAAAGAAAUACCUCUAUUUAAAGUUGUGCUGUUGUUUAUCCAAUUAGUGUUAUCAAUAGAAAAUGCAUUGGUCAUAGUUUAUCGAUGGUAGUUCCCUUUAUCUCCGGCCCUGCAGCACUACGUGAUGAAUACAAGAGUUGUGGCAUUCUAAUUGAAUACGUUCAGAUUGAAGGCGUAUGUUUGAUGGAAGUUCUCGACUGGUCGUUGAUACCAAGGCAACAUCCUUCCUUUUACUCCUUUGGGGCAUCUCUAUAUUUCCCAGUGAACGGACAGAAAAGGGGUUUUAGAUGAAUGAAAUCCCAUUUCUUGAGCACACUUAAUGGAAGUAAUAAGUAGGUGGUACCAUUUAAUUACAUGUCUUGUUUUUAAUUAAAUGUAGUAACGUCUCGUUAUUAAGGCAAUGUGACAGAACCUUUUUACGAGCUGCUUUUCUACUUUGUCGUUUUCCCUGUCAGAGCAGGUGCUGCUCGGCCGGCGCUCUGUUGUCUCCAGUCUGACUCGGGGAAGACUGUGAAUUGUUUGUAACACUUCUACACAAGCUUUAGAUUUGUGGAUCCUCAUCCUUUGACCUGUGGCGCCACCUACUGGCUGAGAUGCGCAUCACUGCUCUGUGGCUGUUGGUUGAGACGCAUCGGAGCCCAGAUGCUGUUUCACAAUCCUUUCUUUCCCCCACUUUGACUUUGUGUUGAGCUUGUGAUGUUCAUAGUGCAGAAAUAAAUGCC
Long non-coding RNA from Gasterosteus aculeatus aculeatus (three-spined stickleback), 1158 nucleotides. Lineage: Eukaryota; Metazoa; Chordata; Actinopteri; Perciformes; Gasterosteidae. The record is from Ensembl.